Molecule: ribosomal RNA, 429 nt
Filed under: Bacillota bacterium
Lineage: Bacteria; Bacillati; Bacillota
Description: Firmicutes bacterium partial 16S ribosomal RNA
Rfam family: Bacterial small subunit ribosomal RNA
Source: RNAcentral
UAGGGAAUCUUCGGCAAUGGACGGAAGUCUGACCGAGCAACGCCGCGUGAGUGAAGAAGGUUUUCGGAUCGUAAAGCUCUGUUGUUAGAGAAGAACGUUGGUAGGAGUGGAAAAUCUACCAAGUGACGGUAACUAACCAGAAAGGGACGGCUAACUACGUGCCAGCAGCCGCGGUAAUACGUAGGUCCCGAGCGUUGUCCGGAUUUAUUGGGCGUAAAGCGAGCGCAGGCGGUUCUUUAAGUCUGAAGUUAAAGGCAGUGGCUUAACCAUUGUACGCUUUGGAAACUGGAGGACUUGAGUGCAGAAGGGGCGAGUGGAAUUCCAUGUGUAGCGGUGAAAUGCGUAGAUAUAUGGAGGAACACCGGUGGCGAAAGCGGCUCUCUGGUCUGUAACUGUCGCUGAGGCUCGAAAGCGUGGGGAGCAAACAGG